RNAcentral lists this ribosomal RNA (497 nucleotides) under uncultured bacterium. RNAcentral describes it as "partial 16S ribosomal RNA". It matches the Rfam family "Bacterial small subunit ribosomal RNA", at positions 28 to 507 of the family's 1533-position model. The record is from RNAcentral.
GAUGAACGCUGGCGGCGUGCCUAAUACAUGCAAGUCGAGCGAACAGAUAAGGAGCUUGCUCCUUUGACGUUAGCGGCGGACGGGUGAGUAACACGUGGGUAACCUACCUAUAAGACUGGGAUAACUUCGGGAAACCGGAGCUAAUACCGGAUAACAUUUGGAACCGCAUGGUUCUAAAGUGAAAGAUGGUUUUGCUAUCACUUAUAGAUGGACCCGCGCCGUUUUAGCUAGUUGGUAAGGUAACGGCUUACCAAGGCAACGAUACGUAGCCGACCUGAGAGGGUGAUCGGCGACACUGGAACUGAGACACGGUCCAGACUCCUACGGGAGGCAGCAGUGGGGAAUCUUCCGAAAUGGGCGGAAGCCUGACGGAGCAACGCCGCGUGAGUGAUGAAGGGUUUCGGCUCGUAAAACUCUGUUAUUAGGGAAGAACAAAUGUGUAAGUAACUGUGCACGUCUUGACGGUACCUAAUCAGAAAGCCACGGCUAACUACGUG